RNAcentral lists this ribosomal RNA (442 nucleotides) under uncultured bacterium. Its description in RNAcentral is "partial 16S ribosomal RNA". It matches the Rfam family "Bacterial small subunit ribosomal RNA", at positions 338 to 795 of the family's 1533-position model. The record is from RNAcentral.
CCUACGGGUGGCAGCAGUGGGGAAUAUUGGGCAAUGGGCGCAAGCCUGACCCAGCAACGCCGCGUGAAGGAAGAAGGCUUUCGGGUUGUAAACUUCUUUUCUCAGGGACGAAGAAAGUUACGGUACCUGAGGAAUAAGCCACGGCGCACUACGUGCCAGCAGCCGCGGUAAUACGUAGGUGGCAAGCGUUAUCCGGAUUUACUGGGUGUAAAGGGCGUGUAGGCGGGGAAGCAAGUCAGAGGUGAAAGCCACGGGCUAAACCUGUGGCCUGCAUUUGAAACGGUUUUUCGUGGGGACUGGAGGGUAAGACGGAAUGCCUGGGGUAGCGGUGAAAUGGGUAGAUAUUAGGAGGAACACCAGUGGCGAAGGCGGUCUGCUGGACAGCAACUGAGGCUGAGGCGCGAAAGCGUGGGGAGCAAACAGGAUUAGAUACCCAGUAGUC